Molecule: unclassified non-coding RNA, 144 nt
Filed under: Priapulus caudatus
Lineage: Eukaryota; Metazoa; Priapulida; Priapulimorpha; Priapulimorphida; Priapulidae
Description: uncharacterized LOC106813397, transcript variant X1
Source: RNAcentral
CAGUAAGGGAUACGAAGCUCGCCUCGCAACUCCAUCACGCACAAGAACGACCAGGACUACUGGAAGAGCAACAGUACGUCUCAAUGGCAGGACGAGAUUAUCGGUAUGAAGACGAUACUCAGCGAUACUCAGUAACUUUGCCAA